Herpailurus yagouaroundi (jaguarundi) is the source of this 796-nucleotide long non-coding RNA. RefSeq lists it as uncharacterized. Lineage: Eukaryota; Metazoa; Chordata; Mammalia; Carnivora; Felidae. The transcript has 2 exons. The record is from RefSeq and is a predicted model, not a curated record.
GGUGUACAAUAAAGCAGUUCUACCAUUCUAUACAUUACUCAGUGCUCAUCAUGAUAUCUUCUGAACACCCAAUAUGGACACAGCCGUUGCCCUCAAGGAGAAGGAUACCUGCGAACAGGUGGCCCCGAUCAAGGAGGAAAUACGCAAGUAGCACAAGUUGGUAUAAAAUCAUAUGCAAUACUGACAUUUUCAGGGCCUUAGUUAAAAUGUGGCUGUCAUGUGGGAGAGAGUGGGAACUACUGAGAAAUUAAGGAAAACAGCUUUUGGUAUUCAGAGAGCAGUAGCUUUCUUCUCUAUGCCCUUCUCAUCUCCACCCAAAAUCAAAAUGGUUUAAAGCAUGCACUGAACAAUGAGAAAAACACCAUGUUUUCUCCUUACCUACCCUGGAGUCUAGUACAUCUGCGCCAGGAGGCCAAGCCCAAGUCCUGUGAAGCACUGCGGGCUCAUUUUCUGAGCUGAUCCUGAAGGAUAGAUAAGGAGUUUCAUCAGGCAGUGGGGGUGGAAGGAGAGAGCUCACCAAGCAGGCAAGUUAGAGAGAUAUUCUGGGCAAAGCGAACAGUUUGUGCAAAGGCGUGGAAGCAUGAGAAACCAUAAUAGUUUAGGGAAGCCACGAGCUUUAGUGUGAACGGAGGCAAGUAUGGCAGCAAUUGCCAGGAAAUGAGGCUGCAGAGAUAUAUUGGUCCCAUGUUAUGAAGGACCUUGUCUGCUACCAUAAGGAAUAGAAAAUGACUGUGCUGUGCUCUCCCAAUGCGGGGUACUGUUACAUAAAAUAAAGAGAGAUACAGUUGGAAAUGUG